UGUGUCUCCUUCACCUCUUUCCUUCAUUGGACUGUGGCCUAUUCAGAUCAGUGAAAGAAGAGACAGGAAAAUGCCAGCAUUCAUUACAGCACAGCUUCCAGUUCUCAGGUUUAUCAGUGAUGCAGUGCACUGCCACCUGAAAGAGCUGCAUUAAUACAGCUGGGAUUUCACUUCACCUGGGCAACAAUGACAUUCACAGAAGAGAUGUCCCAUCUGCUGCAGUAAGAAUGCCAUCUGUCCUUUCAGCGUUUGCACUCCAUACAGCAAAACAAGUUUUGAAGGGAAAAGAUAUCCACUGGAUCGUCCAGGAGCCCAGCCAGGGCAGAGAUGACUCCCCUUCGUAUCAGCCCUUCCCUAGAAACAGCAAUGGAGGACACAUUUAACACAACAUAAUAAAACUUGUAUGUAUUUGAGAUAUUUAAUCCUCAGAUGACUCCCCUUCGUAUCAGCCCUUCCCUAGAAACAACAAUGGAGGACACAUUUAACACAACAUAAUAAAACUUGUAUGUAUUUGAGAUAUUUAAUCCUCAGAUGACUCCCCUUCAUAUGAGCCCUUCCCUAGAAACAACAAUGGAGGGCACAUUUAACACAACAUAAUAAAACUUGUAUGUAUUUGAGAUAUUUAAUCUUAACUGCUCCUCUUUAUGCUGCAUCUGUCUGACAAAACUUAGGUGCUGUUCUUAUUUCUCACUGCAACAUCGCUUCCCACAGGGUUCAGAAAACUUUGGAAUUGCACCCACCUGCCAAUACUGUGCAAAGCCAUUACAGAGAGAACUUCUGUUGUUUUCUGCCGGACAGUUCGGUCUUCAUGCACCAGCAAAGCCUUCAGGCUGUCCAAGAAUCCUACGAGACAUCAGAAUUCAUUUUAACAUUUCUUACUUCCAGCAUUAUUUUGAAAAUAGCAAUAUUCAGCGUUUAUCUCACAACUUGAAGUGCCUCAGAAAUUCCAGCUUGUCCUGACAGUGAAAUUCUCAUUGUCAUAUCUCAAGUAAGGAAGAAACUUUCAAAUUUCAAGGCCUACUGCCAAAAAUGUCACGCUACAAACAAGCUCCUGACUCCUUAUCAAGUUAAAUCCUAAUCCUGCAAAUAUAAAGUGACAUAACUCUAAAAAUAAGACAGUAGAGCUAUUGAUGUCUUUAGAAAAGCAUGUUUUUGCAGGAUUGACACUCACUUGUCUUUUUUGAACAGAAAUAAAUGUGGUGAACCAUUAAUGAUUGUGUAUGCACAUAUGGCACUCACCAGAGCCAAAAAACCUAACAACCCCAAACUAACAAAAAUCUCACAUUGCUUUGGCAAUCAACUGUUCAUCAAACACUAACUUAAUAAAUUUUGAACAUGACUAGUCUCUUUUAUGAGAAGAAAAAAAGGUAAAGGAAGUAAAUGGAGAAAAUGCAGUAGCAAACAAGUAUUUUUUCCUGUGUUACAUAAUGAGCUACGUAGAUAUACCACAGACUGCUAAAAUUGCAAAAAUAAACUUGUA
Molecule: long non-coding RNA, 1480 nt
Organism: Zonotrichia leucophrys gambelii
Lineage: Eukaryota; Metazoa; Chordata; Aves; Passeriformes; Passerellidae
Exons: 3
Source: RefSeq, a predicted model, not a curated record